Molecule: ribosomal RNA, 496 nt
Filed under: uncultured bacterium
Lineage: Bacteria
Description: partial 16S ribosomal RNA
Rfam family: Bacterial small subunit ribosomal RNA
Source: RNAcentral
GAUGAACGCUGGCGGCGUGCCUAAUACAUGCAAGUCGAGCGAACGGACGAGAAGCUUGCUUUUCUGAUGUUAGCGGCGGACGGGUGAGUAACACGUGGAUAACCUACCUAUAAGACUGGGAUAACUUCGGGAAACCGGAGCUAAUACCGGAUAAUAUUUUGAACCGCAUGGUUCAAAAGUGAAAGACGGUCUUGCUGUCACUUAUAGAUGGAUCCGCUCUGCAUUAGCUAGUUGGUAAGGUAACGGCUUACCAAGGCAACGAUGCAUAGCCGACCUGAGAGGGUGAUCGGCCACACUGGAACUGAGACACGGUCCAGACUCCUACGGGAGGCAGCAGUAGGGAAUCUUCCGCAAUGGGCGAAAGCCUGACGGAGCAACGCCGCGUGAGUGAUGAAGGUCUUCGGAUCGUAAAACUCUGUUAUUAGGGAAGAACAUAUGUGUAAGUAACUGUGCACAUCUUGACGGUACCUAUUCAGAAAGCCACGGCUAACUACGU